CAGCCCCGUACACAAAAGCGCAUGUGCUGUGAGCUCGAUGAGUAGGGCGGGACACGUGGUAUCCUGUCUGAAUAUGGGGGGACCAUCCUCCAAGGCUAAAUACUCCUGACUGACCGAUAGUGAACCAGUACCGUGAGGGAAAGGCGAAAAGAACCCCGGCGAGGGGAGUGAAAAAGAACCUGAAACCGUGUACGUACAAGCAGUGGGAGCACAGGUUUACCUGUGUGACUGCGUACCUUUUGUAUAAUGGGUCAGCGACUUAUAUUCUGUAGCAAGGUUAACCGAAUAGGGGAGCCGGAGGGAAACCGAGUCUUAAUUGGGCGUUAAGUUGCAGGGUAUAGACCCGAAACCCGGUGAUCUAGCCAUGGGCAGGUUGAAGGUUGGGUAACACUAACUGGAGGACCGAACCGACUAAUGUUGAAAAAUUAGCGGAUGACCUGUGGCUGGGGGUGAAAGGCCAAUCAAACCGGGAGAUAGCUGGUUCUCCCCGAAAGCUAUUUAGGUAGCGCCUCGUGAAUUCAUCUCCGGGGGUAGAGCACUGUUUCGGCUAGGGGGCCAUCCCGGCUUACCAACCCGAUGCAAACUGCGAAUACCGGAGAAUGUUAUCACGGGAGACACACGGCGGGUGCUAACGUCCGUCGUGAAGAGGGAAACAACCCAGACCGCCAGCUAAGGUCCCAAAGUCAUGGUUAAGUGGGAAACGAUGUGGGAAGGCCCAGACAGCCAGGAUGUUGGCUUAGAAGCAGCCAUCAUUUAAAGAAAGCGUAAUAGCUCACUGGUCGAGUCGGCCUGCGCGGAAGAUGUAACGGGGCUAAACCAUGCACCGAAGCUGCGGCAGCGACGGUUGGGUAGGGGAGCGUUCUGUAAGCCUGUGAAGGUGGCCUGUGAGGGUUGCUGGAGGUAUCAGAAGUGCGAAUGCUGACAUAAGUAACGAUAAAGCGGGUGAAAAGCCCGCUCGCCGGAAGACCAAGGGUUCCUGUCCAACGUUAAUCGGGGCAGGGUGAGUCGACCCCUAAGGCGAGGCCGAAAGGCGUAGUCGAUGGGAAACGGGUUAAUAUUCCCGUACUUGGUGUUACUGCGAAGGGGGGACGGAGAAGGCUAUGUUGGCCGGGCGACGGUUGUCCCGGUUUAAGCGUGUAGGUGUGUGUUCCAGGUAAAUCCGGUUCACUUUAACACUGAGGCGUGAUGACGAGGCACUACGGUGCUGAAGUAACAAAUGCCCUGCUUCCAGGAAAAGCCUCUAAGCAUCAGGUAACAUCAAAUCGUACCCCAAACCGACACAGGUGGUCAGGUAGAGAAUACCAAGGCGCUUGAGAGAACUCGGGUGAAGGAACUAGGCAAAAUGGUGCCGUAACUUCGGGAGAAGGCACGCUGACACGUAGGUGAAGUGAUUUACUCACGGAGCUGAAGUCAGUCGAAGAUACCAGCUGGCUGCAACUGUUUAUUAAAAACACAGCACUGUGCAAACACGAAAGUGGACGUAUACGGUGUGACGCCUGCCCGGUGCCGGAAGGUUAAUUGAUGGGGUCAGCGCAAGCGAAGCUCCUGAUCGAAGCCCCGGUAAACGGCGGCCGUAACUAUAACGGUCCUAAGGUAGCGAAAUUCCUUGUCGGGUAAGUUCCGACCUGCACGAAUGGCGUAAUGAUGGCCAGGCUGUCUCCACCCGAGACUCAGUGAAAUUGAACUCGCUGUGAAGAUGCAGUGUACCCGCGGCAAGACGGAAAGACCCCGUGAACCUUUACUAUAGCUUGACACUGAACAUUGAGCCUUGAUGUGUAGGAUAGGUGGGAGGCUUUGAAGCGUGGACGCCAGUCUGCGUGGAGCCGACCUUGAAAUACCACCCUUUAAUGUUUGAUGUUCUAACGUGGACCCGUUACCCGGGUUGCGGACAGUGUCUGGUGGGUAGUUUGACUGGGGCGGUCUCCUCCUAAAGAGUAACGGAGGAGCACGAAGGUUGGCUAAUCCUGGUCGGACAUCAGGAGGUUAGUGCAAUGGCAUAAGCCAGCUUGACUGCGAGCGUGACGGCGCGAGCAGGUGCGAAAGCAGGUCAUAGUGAUCCGGUGGUUCUGAAUGGAAGGGCCAUCGCUCAACGGAUAAAAGGUACUCCGGGGAUAACAGGCUGAUACCGCCCAAGAGUUCAUAUCGACGGCGGUGUUUGGCACCUCGAUGUCGGCUCAUCACAUCCUGGGGCUGAAGUAGGUCCCAAGGGUAUGGCUGUUCGCCAUUUAAAGUGGUACGCGAGCUGGGUUUAGAACGUCGUGAGACAGUUCGGUCCCUAUCUGCCGUGGGCGCUGGAGAACUGAGGGGGGCUGCUCCUAGUACGAGAGGACCGGAGUGGACGCAUCACUGGUGUUCGGGUUGUCAUGCCAAUGGCACUGCCCGGUAGCUAAAUGCGGAAGAGAUAAGUGCUGAAAGCAUCUAAGCACGAAACUUGCCCCGAGAUGAGUUCUCCCUGAGACUUAAAGUCUCCUGAAGGAACGUUGAAGACGACGACGUUGAUAGGCCGGGUGUGUAAGCGCAGCGAUGCGUUGAGCUAACCGGUACUAAUGAACCGUGAGGCUUAACCUUACAACGCCGAAG
Molecule: ribosomal RNA, 2580 nt
Filed under: Salmonella enterica subsp. enterica
Lineage: Bacteria; Pseudomonadati; Pseudomonadota; Gammaproteobacteria; Enterobacterales; Enterobacteriaceae
Description: bacterial LSU rRNA
Rfam family: Bacterial large subunit ribosomal RNA
Source: RNAcentral